UUGUGCCGGUUCGAAAUUUUAA
RNAcentral lists this unclassified non-coding RNA (22 nucleotides) under Dictyostelium discoideum. The record is from RNAcentral. Lineage: Eukaryota; Evosea; Eumycetozoa; Dictyosteliales; Dictyosteliaceae.